CAAAGUUUCUGUUGACAGAGGAGGUGGAACUAUCCCUGCAGGACGAAGAAGGCGCAGAGAUCGACGAGCAAGUUCUUCCCAUUCUACUCGACCAAGCGACCACCCCUAAUCUUAUCUUUUUGCUGAAUGGCGAGGAAUUGGUCUCGACAACUUCGCAGGUCGUGACGAUUCCAUCUACAUUUGCAGGUGUCAGUCUAACUCCAGGCUCAUUUUCGGUUGGAGGGCAAAACGAAGAUUUGUUUCAACAGGUACUGGAACAUUUAUUGGAAGAUAGACAGGAUCUGUCUCAAGUCGUCAGCGAGUGCAACAAAAAUGGUUUUGUUGACUUUACUUCCUCGUCAACUUUGAUCAAGGAAUUUGUUGCCAAGUUGGUGCAACUCAAAGGUGAGUCACCAUCCCCCAAGGAUCAAAAAUUACUGGCGUUGGCAAUUAUUAAAAUUUUGCCCUGUUGGAGAUUUCCAUCAAGUGUUGAAGGAAUUGAUUUGUUAUUUGACGACGUAAAUCGCACCGGGCUUAUUCAGUCAAG
Molecule: long non-coding RNA, 526 nt
Organism: Folsomia candida
Lineage: Eukaryota; Metazoa; Arthropoda; Collembola; Entomobryomorpha; Isotomidae
Exons: 5
Source: RefSeq, a predicted model, not a curated record